GAGGCGGCCAGAGGAGAGCCAGCUUCUUGGUGUGGGAACAGCUGGGAGACGGGCCGCUGACUCAGCGCAGGGUGGGGGGGCUGGCCGUGGAGGCUCCCAAGGCGACGUUUCGUAUUUGCUGCUGGAGGUAACAGGGGAGACUGGGAAUGGGUUGAGUCGGGGCUGACGAGGUCACACGGUUUUAGGAAGAUCGCCCGCAUAGACCCGAGCAGGGAGAGAAGGAGGCAGGCGGCCCCCACUCCCCCAGCGGCUGUUACGGUGGCCCAGGCGUGAAGUGACCAGGGCCUGCGCGGGCGCCGCGGGCGGCGCGGCCCUAUCAGAGGAGACACAGGUGCUUGGGGACACCCUGCCCAGCUUUUAUACAGGAGUCAAAUCCGCCAUCCCUGCCAAAGAGGUCUGGGAGCAGGGCGGGGUCCUGAGCCACAGCAGGAAAUAGGAAGAGAGGACCCAUUCAAUUUAGCGACGGACAGGUUAAUGGCCCGUUUGAGAUGUCCAAUGGGAAGAGGGAGCUGUGAGCCUGGAGCGCCCGAGUCAGCUGAGGCCACACCUCCUCUCUGGCCGCGUGGUUCACACACGCAGACACACUCACGGAUCCCAAGGGCAUAGGCGGCCCCGCGGCCCCGCGGCAGACGGCAGUAACUGCUCCUCAGAUGGACGUGCAUCCAAGGGCAUUUUAGCGGUGGGGAAAGGCUUGGAGCUGCGGGCAGCGCUCCUGACCACCCCCUUUUCUCCACUCUGUGCCAGCCCUGCUCACUCUGACCCCAGCCUCUCCCGGCCUCUAAUCUCCCUUCCUUCUCCAAGCCCCUGCCCAUGCAGCAACCCCCAUCUGUAUGCUUAAGGCCCAGGUCUCCCCGUGUCAUCACCCCCCAACAAGAAGUUCCAGGGGCUCCCCAGGGCUUCUGUUUGGCAGCCUCUGUGCCCGAGGCCCUUCCCCGUGGGCCCCAGCCCAUUGCUUCUUCUCCUUCACUCUUUCUCCUCAAACCUGCCCUGUCCAGCUAGACUGGUGUGCUCAAUGCUCUUGCUGCCCAGACCACGGCUGCCAGCCCUGUCCUCUCAGCUGCCCCAGACCCCAUUCAGGCCUCAUCUCCUGAGUCACUCACAUGUGACGCUUCUCUUCCUUUCCAGAUUCUCAUAUUCACAGCCUGGGUGCACUCACGCCUCCUAGAACAGGCACUUCCAGAGGGUCGCUUCACUUAGGCCCGUGGCCCAGGCAGCACUGGGCACGGAGGGGACGCCUAAUGAGAUGCUUCUCAGACAGGGCUGGGACCCAGGUUCACAUAGGACACCCUCCCUGUCUACCAGGACCGGAGACCACAGGACUUUGAGAUGGGCAAGGGAAGCGGCAUGCAGUCCAACCUGCUCAUUUGAAUGAUGGGAGAAUGCAGAGGAGGGUGUUUGCCUAGGGGGAUUCAGCUGGCAAGCAGCUCAGCCGGGCCUGGAGGGCAGACCCUGAGCGCCCAGCCUCCCAAACCCCGCCCCCCAGGCUCUCCCUACCCACCUCCCCUGGGGCGUGGCCUACAGCUCUCCCCGCCCACACGGGGUGGGGGAGGCUGGCACAGGAGCCUCACCAUCAUCAAGCCUUCCCCUGUCCAAACUCUGACUUCUCCCCGGCAUUAUUCUUGACAAGAGCUGGAAGGCUGACAAGCUGGGCUGCAGGCCUUUGACCCGGCCAGGACCCUCAGAGAUGCUGCUUCGGGACAAUUGGCCAGAAAACGUUCCUGGACUGGGGGCAGCCCCCUGACCAAUAUCUGUGCCCAGUUAGAUCCCCAGGCUAUGUGUACCCACCAGACUCACUGGUAUUAAAG
This is a long non-coding RNA of Dromiciops gliroides (monito del monte), 1805 nucleotides long. RefSeq lists it as uncharacterized. The transcript has 3 exons. NCBI's taxonomy places the organism in Eukaryota, Metazoa, Chordata, Mammalia, Microbiotheria, Microbiotheriidae. The record is from RefSeq and is a predicted model, not a curated record.